GAUGAAGAACGCAGUGAAAUGCGAUAAGUAAUGUGAAUUGCAGAAUUCCGUGAAUCAUCGAAUCUUUGAACGCACAUUGCGCCCCCUGGCAUUCCGGGGGGCAUGCCUGUCCGAGCGUCAUUUCUGCCCUCAAGCACGGCUUGUGUGUUGGGUGUGGUCCCCCCGGGGACCUGCCCGAAAGGCAGCGGCGACGUCCGUCUGGUCCUCGAGCGUAUGGGGCUCUGUCACUCGCUCGGGAAGGACCUGCGGGGGUUGGUCACCACCAUGUUUUACCACGGUUGACCUCGGAUCAGGUAGGAGUUACCCGCUGAACUUAAGCAUAUCAAUAAGCGGAGGA
This 337-nucleotide unclassified non-coding RNA is filed under the name soil metagenome. Its description in RNAcentral is "partial contains 5.8S ribosomal RNA, internal transcribed spacer 2, and large subunit ribosomal RNA". The stretch from base 1 to 120 matches the Rfam family "5.8S ribosomal RNA", at positions 35 to 154 of the family's 154-position model. The record is from RNAcentral.